AGUAGAAUGCACUCUAGCCCAGGGU
RNAcentral lists this non-coding RNA (25 nucleotides) under Rattus norvegicus (Norway rat). Lineage: Eukaryota; Metazoa; Chordata; Mammalia; Rodentia; Muridae. The record is from RNAcentral.